AGGGGUGAGCACCGUACCCCUCACAAUCUCUUCUCCGGAGCACCGCACAAUCUCCUUGCGUGCUUCGACGGAGUCACAAGCCACCAAGCCGUCUAGGAGGUGGCAACCUCCAAGAGUAACAAGCACCACCGGCUUGCAACACGAACACCUAGUGCCACUCGAUGCAAUCUCUCAAUGCAACGCACUAGAAUCACUCACUC
This 200-nucleotide long non-coding RNA is filed under the name Sorghum bicolor (sorghum). RNAcentral's name for it is "long non-coding RNA (SBIC_LNC012458)". The record is from RNAcentral. Lineage: Eukaryota; Viridiplantae; Streptophyta; Magnoliopsida; Poales; Poaceae.